GAUGAAGAUCGUAGUGAAAUGCGAUACUUGGUGUGAAUUGCAGAAUCCCGUGAACCAUCGAGUCUUUGAACGCAAGUUGCGCCCGAAGCCAUUAGGCCGAGGGCACGCCUGCCUGGGCGUCACACGUCGUUGCCCCCCCAUCUACUCCUUCGGGAUUGCGGGGGGGCGGAUGAUGGCCUCCCGUGCGCCUCGCCGCGCGGUUGGCAUAAAUGCCAAGUCCUCGGCGACGCACGCCACGACAAUCGGUGGUUGCGAAACCUCGGUUGCCCGUCGUGUGCGGUCGUCGCGCAUCGAGGGCUCGAAAAAAUUGCCGGGUUCCGGCUCGGCUUUCAACGCGACCCCAGGUCAGGCGGGGUUACCCGCUGAAUUUAAGCAUAUCAAUAAGCGGAGGA
RNAcentral lists this unclassified non-coding RNA (392 nucleotides) under soil metagenome. RNAcentral's name for it is "partial contains 5.8S ribosomal RNA, internal transcribed spacer 2, and large subunit ribosomal RNA". The stretch from base 1 to 122 matches the Rfam family "5.8S ribosomal RNA", at positions 35 to 154 of the family's 154-position model. The record is from RNAcentral.